UUGUCUCAAAGAUUAAGCCAUGCAUGUCUCAGUACAAGCCAAAUUAAGGUGAAACCGCGAAAGGCUCAUUAAAUCAGUUAUGGUUCCUUAGAUCGUACCAACAUUUACUUGGAUAACUGUGGUAAUUCUAGAGCUAAUACAUGCAAACAGAGCUCCGACCGGAGACGGAAGGAGCGCUUUUAUUAGAUCAAAACCAAUCGGCGGCGGGGUCGCUUGCGGUCCCGUCGUCGUUCGCAUUGACGAAUCUGAAUAACUUUCUGCUGAUCGCACGGUCUCGCACCGGCGACGCAUCUUUCAAAUGUCUGCCUUAUCAACUGUCGAUGGUAGGUUCUGUGCCUACCAUGGUUGUAACGGGUAACGGGGAAUCAGGGUUCGAUUCCGGAGAGGGAGCCUGAGAAACGGCUACCACAUCCAAGGAAGGCAGCAGGCGCGCAAAUUACCCACUCCCGGCACGGGGAGGUAGUGACGAAAAAUAACGAUACGGGACUCAUCCGAGGCCCCGUAAUCGGAAUGAGAACAAUUUAAAUCCUUUAACGAGGAUCAAUUGGAGGGCAAGUCUGGUGCCAGCAGCCGCGGUAAUUCCAGCUCCAAUAGCGUAUAUUAAAGUUGUUGCGGUUAAAAAGCUCGUAGUCGAAUCUGUGUCCCGCACCGCCGGUUCGUCGCUCGCGGCGUUUAACUGGCGUGCCGCGGGACGUCCUGCCGGUGGGCUUAGCUCUUUCGCGAGGGCGGCCCAAUUGUAAUCCCGCCGCGGUGCUCUUAACUGAGUGUCGAGGCGGGCCGGCACGUUUACUUUGAACAAAUUAGAGUGCUUAAAGCAGGCUAAACUUCGCCUGAAUACUUCGUGCAUGGAAUAAUGGAAUAGGACCUCGGUUCUAUUUUGUUGGUUUUCGGAACCCCGAGGUAAUGAUUAAUAGGAACGGAUGGGGGCAUUCGUAUUGCGACGUUAGAGGUGAAAUUCUUGGACCGUCGCAAGACGGACAGAAGCGAAAGCAUUUGCCAAAAACGUUUUCAUUGAUCAAGAACGAAAGUUAGAGGUUCGAAGGCGAUCAGAUACCGCCCUAGUUCUAACCAUAAACGAUGCCAGCUAGCGAUCCGCCCACGAUCCUCCGAUGUCUGGGCGGGCAGCUUCCGGGAAACCAAAGCUUUUGGGUUCCGGGGGAAGUAUGGUUGCAAAGCUGAAACUUAAAGGAAUUGACGGAAGGGCACCACCAGGAGUGGAGCCUGCGGCUUAAUUUGACUCAACACGGGAAACCUCACCAGGCCCGGACACCGGAAGGAUUGACAGAUUGAGAGCUCUUUCUUGAUUCGGUGGGUGGUGGUGCAUGGCCGUUCUUAGUUGGUGGAGCGAUUUGUCUGGUUAAUUCCGAUAACGAACGAGACUCUGGCCUGCUAACUAGGCGUAUUUCCGACAUCUCGAAGGCCCGCCGGCCUGGAGCGUUCGCGCUCCUUGUCGUGCGCGGUUUUUACUGUCGGCGUACAAACAAUUCUUCUUAGAGGGACAGGCGGCUUCUAGCCGCACGAGAUAGAGCAAUAACAGGUCUGUGAUGCCCUUAGAUGUUCUGGGCCGCACGCGCGCUACACUGAAGGAAUCAGCGUGUCCUCCCUGGCCGAGCGGCCCGGGUAACCCGCUGAACCUCCUUCGUGCUAGGGAUUGGGGCUUGCAAUUGUUCCCCAUGAACGAGGAAUUCCCAGUAAGCGCGAGUCAUAAGCUCGCGUUGAUUACGUCCCUGCCCUUUGUACACACCGCCCGUCGCUACUACCGAUUGAAUGAUUUAGUGAGGUCUUCGGACCGGCACGCGGUGGCGUUUCGACGUCGCCGAUGCUGCUGGAAAGAUGACCAAACUUGAUCAUUU
This 1853-nucleotide ribosomal RNA is filed under the name Micronychus sp. UPOL MT0049. Its description in RNAcentral is "SSU rRNA". It matches the Rfam family "Eukaryotic small subunit ribosomal RNA". The record is from RNAcentral. Lineage: Eukaryota; Metazoa; Arthropoda; Insecta; Coleoptera; Lycidae.